Cercocebus atys (sooty mangabey) is the source of this 2037-nucleotide RNA transcript. It is a transcript of the gene named high mobility group protein B3 pseudogene, with no coding region annotated. The transcript has a single exon. The record is from RefSeq and is a predicted model, not a curated record. Lineage: Eukaryota; Metazoa; Chordata; Mammalia; Primates; Cercopithecidae.
AGACUACUUAGAGAGGGGAGAGAGGGAAGGGACAAGGGCUGAAAAACUACCUAUUGGGUACUAUGCUCACUAUCUGGCUGACAGGAUCAUUUAUAACCCAAACCUCAGUGUUACAUGAUGUACCUGGGUAACAAGCCUGCAUGUGAACCCCCAUAUCUAAAAUAAAAGUUGAAAUCGUAAUAAAGUAAACUAAAAGUUGCUUUAAAUAGUUCCUCCCUGUGUGUUUAUGCCAUCAACCAGAUGUAUAUGUAAGUUUAUUUUUUAAUAUUUAGGAGUUGCUUAAAGUUAACUUAAUAUUUAUGCAACAUGUUUAUAUCAUUCUAAAUCUCUAAAACAAGAUAUAGCCAAAGCUCACAGCUUCUAUCAUUAUUUUAUUCGCUUUGUUGCAUCAUUUUUCUUGUAGGUACCAGUUAGCCAUUCUAUGUGUGUGUUUAGUGAUCUUUGCUCUAUUUUAAAAACAUAAAUAAAUGUGUGUAUAUAUUCAUAUCUUCCCCUUUCUAGAAAACAGCAUACACUUUCUCACCUCACUUUUACGUACAAUAAUAUACCUUGAAAAUCUCUCUAUGGUUUAUAUAGAAGAGUUACUCAUUUCUUUUUAGAGCUACGAGAUAUUCUUUCAUGUGGCUGGACCACAAUUUAUUUACCCAGACACCAAUGGAUAGACAUUUGGGUUAUUUCAGGUUGCUUUUCUUUUACUAUGACAAAUAAUGCUGCAAGGAGUAGCCUUAGGAAUAAGUGUUUUUGUAUUUUUGGCAAUCCAUCUUAGGGGUGGGUCUCCAGAAGACGACCAAAGAGUAAAUGUAUAUAUGAUUUUGCUAUACAUGUUGUCAAAUUCCCUUUCAUAGAAGCUGUACCUUCUUGCAUUCCCACCAGUAUUCUCUGCAAGUGCCUCACUCUUCACAGUCGCUCCAAUAGAAUUCACUGCCAAACUGGGCUUUUUGUCCCUCUGUAGAGAGAAAUGGCAUUUUCAUGUCGCUUUAAUUGGCAUUUCUCUUACUAUUAGUGGGACCAGCAUCUUUCUCAGGUUUCAGCUCUAUUUUCAGAUGAAUGCAUUUUAAAACAUCUCGUAAGCUAUGCAUUAUUAUUUGGCCUUAAUUUAUGGGUGAUAUUUUGUGAUACUAAUUAAGUGCAUUUGAGCUGGCUAUUCAGCAGAUCUUUGUAAGCACGGAUCACCAAAUCUGUCUGAAGUUUCUGAAAUCUCUUCUACUUUAGAACAGCACAUUUGAGAAGUAGUGUUAUCAGGACUGAGGUUUAAACUCUUUGGCAUAUCUGGGGUAUGUGAUUGGAAAUGUGUCUGAAUUGGAAUGUUGCCUUAACGAACACGUGUAUAGAGCUUCACUAUAUAUUCUAAUGAGAAUUCUGUACCAACACAAACCAGGUACUUCUUCAUCAAGAACUUAACCUGAUUAGACUAGCGAACAAUACAGUCAGGAUGGCUAACGGUGACCCCAAGAAACCAAAGAGCAAGAUGUCUGCUUAUGCCUUCUUUGUGCAGACGUGCAGAGAAGAACGUAAGAAGAAAAACCCAGAGGUCCCUGUCAAUUUUGCAGAAUUUUCCAAGAAGUGCUCUGAGAGAUGGAAGACGAUGCCCGGGAAAGAGAAAUCUAAAUUUGAUGAAAUGGCAAAGGCAGAUAAAGUGCGCUAUGAUUGGGAAAUGCAGGAUUACGGACCAGCUAAGGGAGGCAAGAAGAAGAAGCAUCCUAAUGCUCCCAAAAGGCCACUGUCUGGAUUAUUCCUGUUCUGUUCAGAAUUCCGUCCCAAGAUCAAAUUCACAAACCCUGGCAUCUCUAUUGGAGACGUGGCAAAAAAGCUGGGUGAGAUGUGGAAUAAUUUAAACGACAGUGAAAAGCAGCCUUACAUCACUAAGGCAGCAAAGCUGAAGGAGAAGUAUGAGAAGGAUGUUGCUGACUGUAAGUCAAAAGGAAAGUUUGAUGGUGCAAAGGGUCCUGCUAAAGUUGCCCAGAAAAAGGUGGAAGAGGAAGAUGAAGAAGAGGAGGAGGAAGAAGAAGAGGAGGAAUAAAGAAACUGUUUAUCUGU